This 711-nucleotide ribosomal RNA is filed under the name bacterium LGM54. RNAcentral describes it as "bacterial SSU rRNA". It matches the Rfam family "Bacterial small subunit ribosomal RNA", at positions 57 to 763 of the family's 1533-position model. The record is from RNAcentral.
GCAAGUCGAGCGGUAGAGAGAAGCUUGCUUCUCUUGAGAGCGGCGGACGGGUGAGUAAUGCCUAGGAAUCUGCCUGGUAGUGGGGGAUAACGUUCGGAAACGGACGCUAAUACCGCAUACGUCCUACGGGAGAAAGCAGGGGACCUUCGGGCCUUGCGCUAUCAGAUGAGCCUAGGUCGGAUUAGCUAGUUGGUGAGGUAAUGGCUCACCAAGGCGACGAUCCGUAACUGGUCUGAGAGGAUGAUCAGUCACACUGGAACUGAGACACGGUCCAGACUCCUACGGGAGGCAGCAGUGGGGAAUAUUGGACAAUGGGCGAAAGCCUGAUCCAGCCAUGCCGCGUGUGUGAAGAAGGUCUUCGGAUUGUAAAGCACUUUAAGUUGGGAGGAAGGGUUGUAGAUUAAUACUCUGCAAUUUUGACGUUACCGACAGAAUAAGCACCGGCUAACUCUGUGCCAGCAGCCGCGGUAAUACAGAGGGUGCAAGCGUUAAUCGGAAUUACUGGGCGUAAAGCGCGCGUAGGUGGUUUGUUAAGUUGGAUGUGAAAUCCCCGGGCUCAACCUGGGAACUGCAUUCAAAACUGACUGACUAGAGUAUGGUAGAGGGUGGUGGAAUUUCCUGUGUAGCGGUGAAAUGCGUAGAUAUAGGAAGGAACACCAGUGGCGAAGGCGACCACCUGGACUAAUACUGACACUGAGGUGCGAAAGCGUG